GCCUACGGGGGGCAGCAGUAGGGAAUUUUCGUCAAUGGGCGCAAGCCUGAACGAGCAAUGCCGCGUGAACGAGGAAGGUCUUCGGAUCGUAAAGUUCUGUUGAAGGGGAAAAAGAGCGGAGAGAGGAAAUGGUCUCCGAUUGAUAUUACCCUUCGAGGAAGUCACGGCUAACUACGUGCCAGCAGCCGCGGUAAUACGUAGGUGGCGAGCGUUAUCCGGAAUGAUUGGGCGUAAAGGUUGCGUAGGCGGCCUGCUAAGUCUGGAGUGAAAGGUACCGGCUCAACCGGUACAGGCUAUGGAAACUG
Molecule: ribosomal RNA, 305 nt
Filed under: uncultured bacterium
Lineage: Bacteria
Description: bacterial SSU rRNA
Rfam family: Bacterial small subunit ribosomal RNA
Source: RNAcentral